Solanum tuberosum (potato) is the source of this 924-nucleotide long non-coding RNA. RefSeq lists it as uncharacterized. The transcript is spliced from 6 exons. The record is from RefSeq and is a predicted model, not a curated record. NCBI's taxonomy places the organism in Eukaryota, Viridiplantae, Streptophyta, Magnoliopsida, Solanales, Solanaceae.
UAAUCUAAUACACAAAGCAAAGUAAAAUUAGGAAAGACAAAUAUAGAGAACACGGUAAAAGGGGAAAGUGACUGGGAGUAGCUCUUCUUCCUCUUUCUUGCUAUAACCAUUGUUGUUCAUGAAUCUGGAAAAAUCUUAAGGGACCAACUUCCAUUAACGAAAGAUCGAGAAGCUGAGGUACAUCUAGCUUGGAUAGAUUACAUCUUAGACGCUCCAAAUUGUCACAAACGUCAUGUAAUCUUGUCCGAUGAAGACGUCUUCAACAUGAUGUAGCUCAAGUCUGAUGCUUUCAUUUGAAGAUUGAGCUCACAAGGAGCUAAUACCACUGUCUAAAGAGCUCCGAUUUAGGCCCAUGUUCUUCAGAUGAGGUGUUGAAAGUGCUCUCUGUUGAUUUCCAUGUGCCUUAUUGGCUUGCUCACAAUAUGCAAGGGCUAACAAUUCUUCUUGUUCAGAUAUAUGGGUCCCAUCAACACAUUCAAUCUGUAAAGGUCUGGGAAAUAUGUCUCCCUGACUGAUUGGCAUAUGCUACAAUAUUCAUGUUUUCAUCUUCCAGCUUAUCUUUAUCCAUUAAUAUACAGGUGAAAAAGUGAACAGAGCAACGAGCGGUUGGUGUUGUGAACGACCUUCACCAACAAGUGUGUCAGAGCAUCUAUUUUUCAGUUUUGUCGGACUUUGUUUGAUUAACUUCCAUUAUAGGAAUCCAAUGAAGAAAUUAUCCGAGAAAUUUCAAAUAUAUAUAUUUCAGUUAGAAUAGUGUGUGACUGUAUUUGUGGUAAGGUAAUUGAACUGCAAUGAAAAAAUUUAAGUGUUCACUGCUCAAUACUCUAUGUGUAAUUGAAAUUGUGUCAAGAUGUGUGUGUCUGUCAAGAAUAUAGAUGUUAUUGACGUGUGUAUACAAAUGCGACUUGUGUUGUGUGUUUAAGA